GGCUAUCAAAGCUCAAAAUUUCAUUGUAGACUUGAUUUGGGGGCAAGACCGACAUCAGUACAGGAGAGUGUAAAGAACUGUAGACUACAGAGAGAAUACGAUAGAGUUAAUAAUUGGAUUUGGACAUUCAUCAAAUGAGUUUCCUUGGAAAAUAUCAGACAUUUAUGUUUCAAUUUACGUGGAUGAUUCGAAAGAUCAGAACACGAUGAAGAAAGCAUCUAUAAAAUCG
Molecule: unclassified non-coding RNA, 229 nt
Filed under: Hevea brasiliensis (rubber tree)
Lineage: Eukaryota; Viridiplantae; Streptophyta; Magnoliopsida; Malpighiales; Euphorbiaceae
Source: RNAcentral